GUCUUUACCUGACAUUGGACAUACCAAGAUGACUAAGGUGGGAUUAUCAGGACGAGGCUGUCCAUUGCAUUCCAGGUGUGUUGACUCCUGCAAUUUGUCCAAAUGCGGGAAGCUCAACUGUAUGAUUUAUGGUAGUGAGGGACUGCGUUUGCGUUCUCUGG
Molecule: small nuclear RNA, 161 nt
Organism: Polypterus senegalus (gray bichir)
Lineage: Eukaryota; Metazoa; Chordata; Cladistia; Polypteriformes; Polypteridae
Product: U1 spliceosomal RNA
Exons: 1
Source: RefSeq, a predicted model, not a curated record